Long non-coding RNA from Symphalangus syndactylus (siamang), 5904 nucleotides. RefSeq lists it as uncharacterized. The record is from RefSeq and is a predicted model, not a curated record. Lineage: Eukaryota; Metazoa; Chordata; Mammalia; Primates; Hylobatidae.
UUUUUUUUUUUUUUUUUUGAGACAGAGUCUUGCUCUGUCGCCAGGCUGGAGUGCAGUGGUGGGAUCUUGGCUCACUGCAACCUCUGCCUCUUGGGUUCAAGCGAUUCUCCUGCCUCAGCCUCCAGAGUAGCUGGGACUACAGGCGUGCACUAGCACGCCCAGCUGAUUUUUUGUAUUUUUAGUAGAGACGGGAUUUCACCAUGUUGGCCAGGAUGGUCUCGAUCUCUCGACGUCGCGAAUACCUGAUUUUUUUAAGAGCCAACAAAGCUGGUGCCCAGAGACCAAGGUUAACCACUCAUACUACAGUACUAUACAGCCUCCUCUAAGGUAUCCCUGCAUUUCAUUUCACUCCAGACCUCUAAACCCAUGGGUUCCCUGCAGCCUAACUUUUGCACAAUAUAACUUAAUAGUAGGGGUCCCUGGACUUCUGUGGAAAAAGGAAGCUGCAUGUGAGGUGGGAAUUUGAAAGAAGAGUAUGAAUAGUUUAAAUUCCAGAACUGCCUUGGAUUUCUAGAUGACGUAUCUAACUCCAAAACCAAACAAUAGACAUUCUUAAGAAUAUUCACAAUGUCCCUAAAUUAAAGCAAAUUUUUAUGCUUCUCUUAUGGGAGAAUAAAGUGGUUUACAGGCUUCUGGUCAAUUCAUACGUCGUGCUGUUUACUUUUAUUUAAAAUUAACUUAGGUCUGCCUUUUUAAAGGUAAGAGAAUUUAAAUUUUAGACGUAAAGUCUAAAUUUGUUACAUUCAAAAGGAAUUAUGUACUAAAUUCAAAAGACAAUUUAAAUUCAAGUUCUAUUUUUUCUGCAUGUGCUUUGAAGUUAAGAGUUAUACACACCUAAACAAAUUAAAAAUUAUUCAACUGGCAUUACAUUGUAAACGAGUAUCUCAUUUAGGAACCAGAUGAUACUUUAUAUAUAUUUACACAUGCUUAUAUAUAUAUAUACACACACAUACAUACAUACAUAUCCAAAAUACAAUCAAGCACUAGACAAAAUAGUCAUAUUGUUGGUAUUACGAUUUUAUAAGUUUGUUUUGUUCUGAUUUGCAUUUGAAAAUUAGGUCAGCCAAAACUUGAUGGCAAAUAGUCUGAUUUACAGCCCAACUAUGACAGUCAAAGGAGACACCAGAAUUACCUGUCACUAAAUCCCAUCACCAGUAUUACCAGGGAUGUGGGUGAGGACUGUCAAGGGCAUUACAGGCAAUGGAAUAGUAACACACAAAGAUUUGGGGAUUUUAACAAACUAAAACCAGUAUUUCACGAAGACCUAAUAAGGACAAGGUCACAACCUAUCCCCACAUGGUCAAAUUAACGUGGAAAGGAGAAAAACUUCACUCUGACAUCGAUUGGUCCUGCUUUCUUUGGGGAGGAAAAAAAGCAUUUUUAUACUCUGAACUCUGUCGUUCUCAUAGACAAAGUUAUAGCAGUAUUUGCAGAGAGUAGGGAGUAUCCCAUCCACCACUUAUUUCUUUCUCAUAUCUACUGAGUAAUCCAAUACAAGAAAGAAAAAGAUAACCAGGACUUAAAGCAAAAACAGAAUUCAGUUCCAUGCUACCCCGGUCUUAUUAUUUCCAGGUGUUAUAACUGGGAGUUGUGCGGCCAGAUUUGAGUUCUACUUCCGCUCCUUUAAUCCCCUAUUCCGAAGAGUCCAAGAGCAGCAGCUAAUAAAAAGACCAACUCGAAAGUGGGGAAGGGAUGUUGGGGUUAAAGAGGGGAGUUAAAUAACCAGACCUUUAGUGAAGAAUAAAGAAUUCAGGCUGCAGUUUCUAGAAAUAAGUUAUUACAGGCCUGUAAAGUCUGGCGCUGGGUAAAGCCCAAGAUGCUUUCCCUAACUCCAAAACGACGACCUUAGAGGGUUGGGGCACCACAGCGGCCGGAUUUCUAAUUGUGGAAAGUUUAAACAAAUUUAUUCCUCGGGGAAUGGGGGAAGGGAGGGAAGAACAAGUCUGGGCUCGGCCGUGCAGCGUGCGGAGUCUGCACGGCGCAGCCGUCGGUCCAACGCGCGGAGGCUCAGGGAUUUUCGGCAGCAGCGACUUCAUCCACCCCGGACCGCCGGCUGGAGGACGUGCCUGGAGCCGGCGGGCAUGUGCGGCCAAUUCGGUGGAACGAGGACGCGGACCGCGAAGGCAGGUACCCUCCUCUGAAAUCAAAACUCUUUAAUUAAAGAGACAUGAAAUGACAAGAUUUAAAAAAAAAAUCCCAUGAGGAGAAGGCAUUCUAAUUUAGUACAGAUGGAGUUUCACCAUCUUGGUCAAGCCGGUCUCGAACUCUGACCUUGUGAUCCACCCGCCUCGGCCUCCCAAAGUGCUGGGAUUACAGGCGUGAGCCACCGUUCCUGGCUCAGGUCUCCUCAACUCUCUGGGAUGACCUGCCUGUGAGACUAGGUCUCACUCAUUGCCUAGCCUGGAGUGUAGUGGCCAUUCACAGGUGUGAUCAUAGAGCACUGCAGCCUUGAAUCCCUGGCCUCAAGCAAACUCUGGCUUCAAGUGAUUCUCCUGCCCCAGCCUCCCAAGUAGCUGGGACUAUAAUUGUGGGCUACCUUGCCCAGCUUAUUCUGCUUAUUUCUACAUAAGAAGUAUCAAUUUACUCAAUUGCAUUAGGAAGUUGUAUCUUUCCAGAGAAAUUAAGGAAACAUCUGUAAAUUCUGAGGAUAAGUUUGUAAACAGAAAAUGAGGAAAUUUUUUUCAAGCAAAAUUUGCAAGAGGAUCAAAAUGAUGGUAGGUUCUAGCAGUUUCACUUCUUGGUUGCUAUAGGCCUAGUUUCUUGCCAUUUCUACUGUCUGUGGAGAUCUAUUUCCAAAUUGAUAGAUGAAAUACAAAUAAUUGUGGUGCUGAAGCUUUAAUUAUCUCUUUCUUUUAUUCAAAACAUUUACUUGGUAUUUACUGUGUGCCAAGCUCUAGUAUACAAAGGUGAAUAAGACACAGCCAGUGGUUUUAUGGAAUUCUCUGGUCUGUGCAAUAAGUGAGGCAUAGACAUUCUAUGGAAAUAUCUCAAGAAUCCUAGCAAAUCAUUCCUUUGUGUAACAAUAACCAGCCUAAAAGAUCAGGUUUGUAAAAUACUUCAUUCUUUGUUAAAUACUGCCAGUCUUAUCCCAUUUGCCUCUUCCCUCUCCCAGUGUCUAGUAGAGCCUGGCUAUCCAUGAAGACCUAGAUAAAUACAUAUCCAAUUGAUCUGAAAUACCUGAACUAACCACUGUUUUGAAGCCAAGUGUCUAAGACACUAAUUGUAAUUAGCAAUGUCUGAACAUAAUCUGAAUUUGAAUGCCUUUGGGCAAGUUAUGCAGAGUUUGCCCCAGGUCUUACCAUUCUCCAUUGUAUUAGACCUAGCUGGAUUCACUUAUUUUUGUUGCCUGCCAAACCCAAUAGGUAUUUGAGUUUUGGGGGAAUCUUAGAGCCAGUACUCUGCUGUCAUAGGUAUAUGAGUAAUUAUUCGACCUCUAAACCAUCUGUGGCAUAGACUACCAGUAGCCUUAAGAUGCUAUUCUACUCAAUUUAAUAGAGCACUUAAGUUCAAAUUAAAUCUCAAUUUUUUAAGCAAUAAACAAUGAGUUCCCACUUUUUAUAAGCCUUUAUAUUAGAAAGUUGUGAGAAUUCAUAGAAGAAUUUAUCACUGGAGAAUUCAUAGAAGGUUUCCUCUAAGAAAGGGCCCUUGCCCUUAAAGACAUUGUACCAUAAUUGGAAGGUUAAAACUCUCACACAUGAAAAAUAGUAAAACUGAUGUAAAACAAGUGAUAAAAUCGCAAAAGCCCUAGAAGUGGACUAGAGGAAGGGAGACUUCCCAGAGGGGUAGGAUUUGAACUGGGCCUUUGAAGCACUAGUAGGAUUUGGAGUUGAAGCUAUUUUAAAGGGCGGUGCAUAGCUGAUUCAGAAGCAGUCUCAGAGGUGCAAAUGCACAGGCGUGUUGAGGGGACAAUGAACAGAGUAACUUGGCUGGACACUUAGGUUGAGAAUGUCAAGAGCUUAAUGCUAGGCAGAGCUGCCAAUCAGGAGAUAGUGGCAGUCACUCAAAAACUGAGUGACAAUACCAAAGGAGUAUCUGAAAAAGAUUAAAUCUAAUUUUUUUUUCAGUAUAGAAUUGAGGGUGGGUGGAAUUGGCAGACAGCCACCCAAUUAGGGGGUCACUGUAUUCAUCUAGAUGUUUGGUAACAAGGCCCUAACUUCAGGUCAGAAAAAGGAAGCAAGGAAGAGGAAGAAGAAACAUAUAAGACAAUUGACAAAACAAUUGACUACUGAUCAGCCAUGCGCAAGAGACAAAGAGAGAAGCAACAAGAUUGACUGGGGUUUUAAGGCCAGACCAGCAAGACAAUAUUGGAGCCAUGGGGAAGGAAGGGGUGGCAGGGAGAAAUAGAAGAUUGGGAGCUGAUUUUAGAGGGAAGACAGUAAGUUUGGUUUUAGUCUGGGCAAGGCAUAAGCAUUCCAAAAAAUUAUAGGUCCAGAGUUUGGGACAAAAUUUAGGGCUAAAGAUAAGGAAGUUAUUUCUAAUAUGGAAAUGUUAGUUAAUAUCGAGGAAUGAAUGAACCAUCUGAUGGGGAGAAUAUAAAAAGAAAGAUUAUAAAGAAAAGAUCUGAACUCAGGAACGUCCCAAAAUUUGGAGAGCAGGAACAGAGGACUAGUGAAGAAGGCAGAGACAAGGUGGUCAGAAUAGCAUCAGAAGCUCCCCCAGAGCAGUACUUCUGAGGCAAGGGAGGAAAAUCCCUCAAAGCAGGGGCAGUUCAUCAUAGGGAGCCGUGAAGACUAAGAACUGGAAGUCAGCCCACAGGUGUGUUAGAGACAGCUGGAAGGCAUCAGAGGUGACUGGGGCUAGAUAACCUUUCAGAUGCUUUUGUCUAUCCUGGAAUUCUGUGAGUUGAUUUGAAGGUUAUCGAGCCCAGCUAUAGUGGAGCAGGGUGUGGCAUGAGGAGGUGAUACUACAGUUGCCCCUUUACAGAGUAACCCAAGUAUGCAACAAUUAAGACAUAUGACAUAUUUGGACGUUAGCAUGUGGAAUUAAAAUGACACACAACAAUCUAUUGGUUGCUGUCCAACAUAUUGUAAAGCAAAUAAACUCUGAAGCAUGACCCAUAAUACUGUCUCUACCAUCUCCUUUUUCAAAUCAACCUCAAACUUCCCCCUGUCCAUUACAUGAACAUUUCAUUUCUGGUGAUUUUCCUGACAUUUCAUCAAAUAAAUCCAUUCAGCAAUUCGGCAAGCACCCAAUAAGCACCUAUGUGUAUUGCCAGGUACUGCACUAGGAACUUGGGACUCAGAGAACUUUAAAGGUGUGCUUCUUGCCUGUGAGGAGCUCCAGUUCAAUGGAGAAAUCUGGGGAGGAGACACCCUGAAGCAGCACACAACAAACAGCCUGCUGAUGGGGAGACCUCAAAUAAUGAAGGCAAAUAGAUCAGGUUCCAGUGGCAAGAGCAGCAGGAGCAGGAUUGUUCAUCACUCACAGAAUCUUAGGCUUGGAAAGGAGCUUGGAGGACAUCCAGACAUAAGCUAAUAAUGUCUCUUGCCUAAAAUGGUGUGGAGAGAAGGUAGGCCACCCUUCCCCCACCCUGGCAGCCUCAUCAUGGUCCACAACAUAAACAGUAUGAGAGUAUCUCAACCCACUCGUUACUCACAUGAGGACUUGUCACAGCUCCACAGGUAAAGAUGCAAAAGAAAACAACAGAAAACAAUUGCUGUUUGUAUUAGAUUUCCUUACAGUAGCCACCAAAAUGAACAGCCAAAAGGAAAAACAAAACCAUCAACAUGCAGUAGCUCCACCCCAGGAAUCUUUCUAGCUGGGACGUAUGAGGAUGGUAACAAAAAAGCACUAAGAAUUUGGCGUUAAGAUAUAUUCAUCAAGAGAAGAAAAGUUGUUCAUUCAGCUUAAGGUUUGCUGUAACAUGAGAGUGAGUCAAACCAGAACUAGUACUGAGGAACUGAC